UCUGAGGGGUAGUAGUGGGGGGGUCAAAGAUGUCGUGACAAACAUGAACUUAUAAACUAACUAUAGAAAGGAAAAAACAAAAGAAACAAACCACCUAAUUAACUAACCACCUCACAUCAUGAAGAAGUGGCAUAUCAAACUGACCUGGCAACGAAUCAACAAAUAAAGUAACCAACAAGUAAUACCAGUUGUCACUAACUAACUACUGGGCAACAAACUUCCGCUUUGGAAGACAGGUGAGCCACGAUUGGUUGUUACUUGAGCCCUGAGCAACUUGAUGUCAUUUUCAGUUGACAGAAAGAUGGCUAAAAACGGGUGGAUUUUGCUGCUUAACUCGUAUUCAUCAAACACAAUAUUAAUCAGACUGCCCUGUUUAAACUAGCGGAGGCGCUGUGAACAUUGUAUUGUAAAGGAAACAUUGGAGUUGACUUCCCCUUUAAGAAACCAAGAAAAUAAAAUUACAAGUGAUAACACAAUGUGAUACGUGUACUGAAAAAGUAUGGUGACUGACCUGAAUUCUGAUCGUGUUUCCGCUGCUUAUAGUGAUGUCAUCCACCGUUUUAAUGCCUGUGUGUGUCUCACUGAGGUGCGCUCUUUUUAUUCUCUGGGACGUCCCCUCAUGAAGGUGGGGCCUGGCCCGCCCCGGCCAGGGUUGCGGCGAGCCUCCUGUGCGUACAGGCCAGUUGUUCUAUACGGGGUCAAUGAUUCAGUCCAGGACGUUUAGGCCGCUGACCGAAGGGGUUUGAUGAAAACUUUACAGCCUAUUGAUUAUUGAUAAUCUUAUCUGCGGCCCCCAGCUGCCGCACAGAUAAAAUAUCCCAUGAUGAGCAGCACUUGCCUUUGAACAUUGACCCACUCUGACGUACGUUGAUGGCAUGACUACGUCACUGGAUGGCCCUGGGCGUCUUGUUACCUGAGCCAAUUGAAAAGAUUAUACAGAAGGAAGGUGACACGAUCACAACACGGUCACGCCAAUGAUGCCACACACGGAGCGUGUUAUGUAAGGCCCUCAACGCUGUGGUUUAUGGACUAACCUCUCAAUUGCAUCAUUCAUCAAGUUGUAAAAGAAAACACAAAACAUCCUCUGAAUCUUUACACCGCUAAUUAAAAGACUUUGGAGACACUGCGAGUGCUUACAUCAGCACAAGACAUUGCAACUGGACUCGCCAAUAGUCAAUCGCUUCAACAACACCAAACACGAUUCUGAAACGGACCAAUUUUUAACCCAGAUGAUUUUCAAUUCUAUUUAUUUUCAAUCCAUUUUUUUAAUUCUAAGGAUUUUUAGCUGUAAUCAUUUUGAACCGUGAACUUAGUUUGUUAGCUAGCUUGUAACUGUGUUUUUUCAUUUAUUAGUAAUCUUGUUGGUUUGUCAGCCAGUUUGACAGAUCUAGCAGUUUGUUAAUUUGUCGCCUGGCUUAUUUGUUGAGUAAUUUCUUAGCUAGUUUGUUCAAUAUUACGUUAACGACAGUUAGCUUGUUGUUCAAUAAUGGGUUAGCUAGUUAGUCAGUUUGUUUGCUAUUUUUUU
Hippocampus zosterae (dwarf seahorse) is the source of this 1525-nucleotide long non-coding RNA. RefSeq lists it as uncharacterized. The transcript is spliced from 3 exons. The record is from RefSeq and is a predicted model, not a curated record. NCBI's taxonomy places the organism in Eukaryota, Metazoa, Chordata, Actinopteri, Syngnathiformes, Syngnathidae.